This 73-nucleotide transfer RNA is filed under the name Bos taurus (domestic cattle). It matches the Rfam family "tRNA". From Rfam's summary of the family: Transfer RNA (tRNA) molecules are approximately 80 nucleotides in length. Their secondary structure includes four short double-helical elements and three loops (D, anti-codon, and T loops). Lineage: Eukaryota; Metazoa; Chordata; Mammalia; Artiodactyla; Bovidae. RNAcentral also lists the same sequence under 4 other names. The record is from Rfam by way of RNAcentral.
UCUGUGGUGGUCCAGCGGUUAGGACUUUGCACUUUCUCUGCAGGGGGCAUGGGUUCGAUCCCUGGUCAAAGAA